This 72-nucleotide transfer RNA is filed under the name Flammulina velutipes KACC42780. RNAcentral describes it as "tRNA-Ala (TGC) (tRNA-Ala-TGC-2-1, tRNA-Ala-TGC-2-2)". It matches the Rfam family "tRNA". Rfam says of the family: Transfer RNA (tRNA) molecules are approximately 80 nucleotides in length. Their secondary structure includes four short double-helical elements and three loops (D, anti-codon, and T loops). Further hydrogen bonds mediate the characteristic L-shaped molecular structure. tRNAs have two regions of fundamental functional importance: the anti-codon, which is responsible for specific mRNA codon recognition, and the 3' end, to which the tRNAs corresponding amino acid is attached (by aminoacyl-tRNA synthetases). tRNAs cope with the degeneracy of the genetic code in two manners: having more than one tRNA (with a specific anti-codon) for a particular amino acid; and 'wobble' base-pairing, i.e. permitting non-standard base-pairing at the 3rd anti-codon position. The record is from RNAcentral. Lineage: Eukaryota; Fungi; Basidiomycota; Agaricomycetes; Agaricales; Physalacriaceae.
GGGCGUUUAGCGCAGUGGUAGCGCGUUCGCUUUGCAUGCGAAAGGUCCGGGUUUCGAUCACCCGAAUGUCCA